Rhincodon typus (whale shark) is the source of this 523-nucleotide long non-coding RNA. RefSeq lists it as uncharacterized. Lineage: Eukaryota; Metazoa; Chordata; Chondrichthyes; Orectolobiformes; Rhincodontidae. The record is from RefSeq and is a predicted model, not a curated record. The transcript is spliced from 4 exons.
CGACACUAUAGGUACUGGAGGGCAUGCAGAGGAGAUUCAUCAGGACGUUGCCUGGAAUGGAGCAUUUCAGCUAUGAAGAGAGGUCGCCAAGGUGACAGAAUGAAUAUACAUGCAACAUGGUGUAUUUAACAAACGGAUGACCCAAUGCAUCUCGCCAGCUGAAAUUGCCAGCUGAGAAAAUGGUGGAUCUAAGAGGUUGUGUUACUUAUUGUCAGCAAGAGCAUGGCCCCAUAUCCUCUUUAACAGAUGCUGCCAGGUCUGCUAGGCUUUUCCAGCAACUUCUGAUUUUGUUCCAUCCUCUUGGUUGACUGGAUUUUAUCGAUACCGAAUAUUUCCAGCAUCUGCAGUUCUUUGUGGGUCAUGAUUCAUUGCAUGUAUCAACACAAGAACAGCUCGUGGAACCAGGGAGGAAACUUGACAAAAUGUAAAAAAGUAAUGCAAUGGUUUGAAGUUAAACAGGUUUGAUGUAGACUUGGGAGUAUAAAGUUAUUAAGCAAUUUAUUCAAACUAAUGAUCUGUCAGU